Molecule: ribosomal RNA, 468 nt
Filed under: uncultured bacterium
Lineage: Bacteria
Description: partial 16S ribosomal RNA
Rfam family: Bacterial small subunit ribosomal RNA
Source: RNAcentral
GACGAACGCUGGCGGCGUGCUUAACACAUGCAAGUCGAACGGAAAGGCCCUGCUUUUGUGGGGUGCUCGAGUGGCGAACGGGUGAGUAACACGUGAGUAACCUGCCCUUGACUUUGGGAUAACUUCAGGAAACUGGGGCUAAUACCGGAUAGGAGCUCCUGCUGCAUGGUGGGGGUUGGUAAGUUUCGGCGGUUGGGGAUGGACUCGCGGCUUAUCAGCUUGUUGGUGGGGUAGUGGCUUACCAAGGCUUUGACGGGUAGCCGGCCUGAGAGGGUGAUCGGCCACAUUGGGACUGAGAUACGGACCAGUCGCCUACGGGAGGCAGCAGUGGGGAAUAUUGCACAAUGGGCGGAAGCCUGAUGCAGCAACGCCGCGUGCGGGAUGCCGGCCUUCGGGUUGUAAACCGCUUUCGCCUGUGACGAAGCGUGAGUGACGGUAAUGGGUAAAGAAGCACCGGCUAACUACGUG